CAGUCGCCGCGGGAAUACGUAGGGUGCGAGCGUUGUCCGGAAUUACUGGGCGUAAAGAGCUCGUAGGCGGUUUGUCACGUCGUCUGUGAAAUCCUAGGGCUUAACCCUGGACGUGCAGGCGAUACGGGCUGACUUGAGUACUACAGGGGAGACUGGAAUUUCUGGUGUAGCGGUGGAAUGCACAGAUAUCAGGAAGAACACCGAUGGCGAAGGCAGGUCUCUGGGUAGUAACUGACGCUGAGGAGCGAAAGCAUGGGUAGCGAACAGGAUUAGAUACCCCGGUAGUCCCUGUCUCUUAUAC
This 301-nucleotide ribosomal RNA is filed under the name uncultured bacterium. Its description in RNAcentral is "partial 16S ribosomal RNA". It matches the Rfam family "Bacterial small subunit ribosomal RNA", at positions 509 to 807 of the family's 1533-position model. The record is from RNAcentral.